Molecule: long non-coding RNA, 953 nt
Organism: Astyanax mexicanus (Mexican tetra)
Lineage: Eukaryota; Metazoa; Chordata; Actinopteri; Characiformes; Acestrorhamphidae
Exons: 4
Source: RefSeq, a predicted model, not a curated record
AAGCACCUAUCGAUGGGUAGCAAAACUCGACCAAACACCUGGAUCAUUCCCGACCGACCCAUCACUAGGGUGCCUGCGGGCUGACGGACUGAACGUGGCGGGGUACCUGACGUCCAUCUUUGGCACAGAGAAAGACAAAUGCUUGCAGUGAUGUUGAAAUGCAGUUAGCUUUAUGACAAGUUCUUCGAGGUAAGCUGUGUACACUGGCUUUCGUUCAUGAUAAGAUAAAACACCUUUAAUAGUGAGUUGCGUAAACAUCUGAAAGAUCUGUGAAUUCUGUCUAAUUUCUGAUUCGUUUGUUUGUAUGAACAGACACUUCUAGCCAGAUGCAUCCAGUCACAAUCUGUGGACAGUGUAGUAGUGGGUAAUUGGGGUAAUGGGUAAUUGCUUCUAUAAAGUUGGUUUAGGUACCUGCCUUUUUUUAAAUACCACACAGCAUUGUUUUGUUAGGAAGUCUUCUAGGAAAUGGAAGAGAAGUAUGGAGAGGUGGAGAGGUGUGUGAUAAUCUAGGCGAUCACCUAGUUGGCAACGUUUACGUAAAAUUCAGUCGUGAGGAAGAUGCAGAGAAGGCUGUUAUGGACCUGAACAACCGGUGGUUUAACAAACACCCCAUCCAUGCAGAGUUGUCCCCUGUGACCACCUUCAGAGAAGCCUGCUGCAGGCAAUAUGAAAUGGGGCAUCGCUCUAGUUUAUGGUCUCAUGAACGGCACUCUAGAUCACGUGAACGUGGCCGCCGGAAUCGUGAGAGGAGAUCGAGAGACUGUGAACGAUUGGGGAGCUUUUGAGCCAACAUGUGAACUUCUGCUUUCUUCCCAUCAGUGUCAUCACACCAGAAACGACCAACAUUUGUGCAAAACAUUGAACUUUGAGCUGUAGCUUACUUUGGCCAAUUUCUUUUUUCUUUUUUUUGCAAGGAAGCUGGGUUUCUCAAUAAAAGUACAUUGUCACUUUGA